GAGUGCUAACUCUACAUUGUUGUGUUCGAGUUUCCUUGAGGAGUUCUCUAUCGCUAGGUGUGAAAGCCUACAGAGUCUUGAAUCUUCCCAAGGUGCGUCAGCUGUGGGUAAGUUGCUGUCAAGUUUAAGGCGUGUGGAUGAGUUGGGCAGUUUGGAGCAGCUGUGGCUGAAUGUGGAUACGCAGGACCUCGCUUCUCAGUGGGUGCCUGGGCUUAAACAACAGCGCCAAUAACUCCAUGGGGAAGACCUGGAUAUCUACACAUGGUGACUGAGGUACGAGAAAAACUGGGCAUUAAUUUAGUUGCUCCUUAAUUUGUUUGGUUGUCCAUCUAAUUAAUGUUGUUUUCUCUCUGAAUUUUGUAGUUUCAACCGACACUAGCAUCUUGAAUUUGUGGAUAUUAGUCUUCUGUAGGAAGGAGGACUGAUGAUAAAGUGCAACGAUCAAGAUGAACUGAGGUCGAAAGGUGGGAACUGAGAGAUGGAAAUCAAGAGCAGCUGCAUGCGAUGCAUCGAUUCUUGCUCUAAGGUUGGGUCUAUGAGAACACAGGGAACACAGGGAGAAGGCUUCCUCUCUUCUUUGGCCCAUUGGAAGCCUUGUUUAAUCUUGUUCAAGUGUUUGCUAUUGUUGUGUGCAUGUCUAAACAAAAUGUGUGCUACUUACUUGAGUUUCUCCAUUAAUUCAUUCUGUAAGAUGGGCUUCUAUUCCUUGUACUUAGCGAACAUGUAAUCAUAUCUUGGCUGGUGCCUAUGCUGCUGCUCCGUCGUCAAUUUGUCACCUGCUCUUUCACUGUGAUGCGAUUACAAUUUGUUAGGUGCAAUCAAUUUCUUCCGUUCUGUUCUCAAAAGAAUGUCAGAACUUGGAGAAUCACAGCCAUCAAGAUGCACUGAUGUCGGAACUCGGAGAAGGCUUCCUCUCUUCUUUGGCCCAUGGGAAGGCUUGUUUAAUGUUGUUCGAGUCUUUGGGUAUCCUUGUGUGCAUAUCUGAAUAAAUUGU
Molecule: long non-coding RNA, 994 nt
Filed under: Setaria italica (foxtail millet)
Lineage: Eukaryota; Viridiplantae; Streptophyta; Magnoliopsida; Poales; Poaceae
Description: long non-coding RNA (SITA_LNC006167)
Source: RNAcentral